Molecule: ribosomal RNA, 253 nt
Filed under: uncultured bacterium
Lineage: Bacteria
Description: partial 16S ribosomal RNA
Rfam family: Bacterial small subunit ribosomal RNA
Source: RNAcentral
UACGAAGGGUGCAAGCGUUACUCGGAAUUACUGGGCGUAAAGCGUGCGUAGGUGGUUUGUUAAGUCUGUUGUGAAAGCCCCGGGCUCAACCUGGGAAUGGCAAUGGAUACUGGCAAGCUAGAGUGCGGUAGAGGGAAGUGGAAUUUCCGGUGUAGCGGUGAAAUGCGUAGAUAUCGGAAGGAACAUCAGUGGCGAAGGCGACUUCCUGGACCAAUACUGACACUCAGGUGCGAAAGCGUGGGGAGCAAACAGG